Molecule: ribosomal RNA, 287 nt
Filed under: uncultured bacterium
Lineage: Bacteria
Description: partial 16S ribosomal RNA
Rfam family: Bacterial small subunit ribosomal RNA
Source: RNAcentral
GUGGAUUAGAUACCCUGGUAGUCCACGCCGUAAACGAUGAGUGCUAGGUGUUAGGGGGCCCACCCCUUAGUGCCGAAGCUAACGCAUUAAGCACUCCGCCUGGGGAGUACGGUCGCAAGACUGAAACUCAAAGGAAUUGACGGGGGCCCGCACAAGCAGUGGAGCAUGUGGUUUAAUUCGAAGCAACGCGAAGAACCUUACCAAGACUUGACAUCCCGCUGACCGCUCUAGAGAUAGAGUUUCCCUUCGGGGCAGCGGUGACAGGUGGUGCAUGGCCGUCGUCAGCU